GAUGAACGCUGGCGGCGUGCUUAACACAUGCAAGUCGAACGAAGCAUUUAAGACAGAUUACUUCGGUUUGAAGUCUUUUAUGACUGAGUGGCGGACGGGUGAGUAACGCGUGGGUAACCUGCCUCAUACAGGGGGAUAGCAGCUGGAAACGGCUGGUAAUACCGCAUAAGCGCACAGUACCACAUGGUACAGUGUGAAAAACUCCGGUGGUAUGAGAUGGACCCGCGUCUGAUUAGCUUGUUGGCGGGGUAACGGCCCACCAAGGCGACGAUCAGUAGCCGACCUGAGAGGGUGACCGGCCACAUUGGGACUGAGACACAGCCCAGACUCCUACGGGAGGCAGCAGUGGGGAAUAUUGCACAAUGGAGGAAACUCUGAUGCAGCGACGCCGCGUGAGUGAAGAAGUAGUUCGCUAUGUAAAGCUCUAUCAGCAGGGAAGAUAGUGACGGUACCUGACUAAGAAGCUCCGGCUAAAUACGUG
Molecule: ribosomal RNA, 481 nt
Filed under: uncultured bacterium
Lineage: Bacteria
Description: partial 16S ribosomal RNA
Rfam family: Bacterial small subunit ribosomal RNA
Source: RNAcentral